This 193-nucleotide long non-coding RNA is filed under the name Ficedula albicollis (Collared flycatcher). RNAcentral's name for it is "lncRNA (ENSFALG00000026865.1)". The record is from RNAcentral. Lineage: Eukaryota; Metazoa; Chordata; Aves; Passeriformes; Muscicapidae.
CAUGUCUAAAGUGACCCAAAAACCUGGCUGCUUUGGAAAGUGGAUAGUAUUGGCAAGCAAAGAAAUAUGGCAAGUAAAAGUCUUUUUUAGAUCCAGUUGAUGUCAGUGUUUUCUUCAAAAAAAGGGCAAAUCACAGCCUUGAGGGGUCCUGAGGAGGAGUUAGGGGACUGAUUAAGGCAGAGAGUAAUUGUUC